This 3283-nucleotide long non-coding RNA is filed under the name Homo sapiens (human). RNAcentral's name for it is "HSALNT0353933". The record is from RNAcentral. Lineage: Eukaryota; Metazoa; Chordata; Mammalia; Primates; Hominidae.
GUUUAUUUCUUCUUUUUCUAGCAUCUUAAGUGAAUCAUUGUUUAAUAAUUUAUUGUUUAAGCAUUUUUCAUUCAGUACUUCCUUAGAUAGAUCUCACAUUUUUUGGCAUUUGUUUUCAUAAUUGUUUAGUUCAAUAAGUUUCCUGAUGUCCAUUGUAAUUUCUCCUAGUAACCAUGGAUUAUUUAGAAGUGUGUAAUUUAAUUGUAAUGUUUGGUGAUUUUUCUCAGUACCUGAUCUCUAACUUAUUUAUUUAUCUGUCUAUUUAUUUUUGAAACAGAGUCUUGCUCUGUCACCCAGGCUGGAGUGCAGUGGCACAACCUCAGCUCAGUGCAACCUCCACCUCCUGGGUUCAAGCAAUUCUCCUGCCUUAACCUCCUGAGUAGCUGGGAUUACAGGCGCCUGCCACCACACCCAGCUAAUUUUUGUAUUUUUAGUAGAGAUGGGAUUUCGCCACGAUGGCCAGGCUGGUCUCAACACCUGACCUCAAGUGAUGCACCUGCCUUGGCCUCCCAAAGUACUGUGAUUACAGCCUCCUGGUAUUUUUAAGGAAAUGUAAGAGUGUGAAUCAGGUACUGAUGGUUUUGACUUCAUUAUGAUCAGCAUCUUUGGCUUCCAUCAGAGUAGACACUGAACGUUUUCAUCCAACCGGAUGAUGAGUGCAUUAGAACUACAUAAGAGAUGAAAUCCUUUCUCCCUGGGACAUGCCCUCCGUGGGAGCCCCAGCAAAUCCAGGUGGACGUGGCUGAAAGACAAAAUGCUCAAAACACCACUGUGCUUCUUCUUACACUCUGGGUCAUCAACAGUCUCAUCUACAUCAAGCUUGUGCCAUUUGUUGACACUAUCAAAUAUGGCAGUGUCACCAAGAAUCUCUCCAUAAAAAUGUGUUUAGCUACACCACACAUGGGCAACACAAUUGCUGUCUCUCAUACGAGUGUUAUCACAUUCCAGGACUUAAUUUUUCUGGUUCUCAUGAGUUGAGCCAGUGGCUACUUGGUGAUUUUCCUUCACAGACACCAGAAAAAUAAUCCACAUCUUCACAACAACAGCUGUUCCUCUAUAGCCUCCCAUGAGACCGGAACCAUCACGACUGCGCUGCUGCUUAUGAUUUGCUUCGUUGUAUUUAAUGUGAGCAACUCGUGCCACAGCAUUUACCUAAGUACGGUGAAGAAAAGGGAUCAGUUGUGGACCAUCUCAGAUUUGAUUUCCUCAUGUUACCCCAUUUUUUGGUCCAUUUUUGCUCAUUGGUAGAGAAAGUCUUAUCCUGAAUUCAAAAUCUAUGAAGUAGAGAAAGUCGUCUUAUCCCAUAGAUAUGUCAAAGUAAACUUUCACCAAUAUAAACUUUUUCCAAAACAACAUUCUAUAAAGAGUUGGUAUUCUGAAGAAAUGAUGGGAUUUAGGUCUGAAAAAUGAGAUAUUUCUCAGUUCACUGCAUGAAAUAUAAUCUAAUGACCUUUACCUUCAGUAAAGACAAUAUUGCAUAGCUUAGUAUUUAAUGUUUGUAUACAUAGAUAUAAUCAUUUAAUAGACAAGUAGAUAGAUAAUUUUUCAUGUCAGAUGUUAUAAUGGACUUCUUGCACUAGUCAUUCAAUAUCCAUAUUUUUCUUACUUUAAUUUGUGUUCAGCAUGAAAAAUCAUUUCAAAAGGAGAUCAGGGACUCCAGGAAGCAGAGCGUAACUCCCCACUUCUAAACUGUGGGCUUCACAUAAUGACAUCCUACCAAGAAAUCAGUAUAGCAAAGGAGGAAAAAGAGUAACUUCGCAUUGGAGAAACCUAACAAACACUGUCUCAGCCAGGUGAUCAAGGCCACUGUGAGCAGUGAUCAGUCAAGUCGAAAGUGCAUAUCAUAUGACAGGAUGAGAAUGGCAUUUUACCUCGACAUCUUCCCUCCCAAAACUAAUAAUCCUACUACAUCAGACAAACCUCAGCUGAGAAACAGUUUCCAAAAACACCUGACUAGUACCCCCUAAAACCAUCAAGGUCAUCAAGAACAAUGUAGUCCUGAGAAAUGAUCACAGCCGGGAAGAACCUAAGGACUUGGUGUCCUUUGGUAUCCUGAUAUGGAAUCCUGGAGCAGAAAAGGACAUUAAGUAAAAACCAAGGAAAUAGAAAUAAAGUAUAAACUUAAUAAUAUAUCAAUAUUAAUUCAUUAAUUGUGACAAAUGUAACAUAGUAAUGUAAGACAUUAAAAUGGGGAAAAUUGGGUAUGAUGUGGAGGAGAACUCUGUGUAUUCUAUUUGCAACUCUUCUGUAAAUGUAAACCUAUUUGAAAAUUAAAAAUUUAUUUUUUAAAAAGAAAAUUAAGAAACCUAUAUACUUAAAUUUGAGGAAACAAAAAUUACUUUCCUUGCCUAAAGUAUGUGUUCUACAUUUUAGGAUUUACCUGACAUCCUAAUGAAUAGACUUUUUUAAUGUAUACAAUCUUAUGUCACUAAUUUAAAUGUAAAUGUUUAAGAGUUACAAGGUUCAGUCUAUUAAUUUUAUUAACUUGGCCCUUGAAGAAGACUCAUAUAAGAAAGAGGAUGUUUUGACCUGAAUUAUUUCUAUACAAAGCACUCUUUGAUGAGGACAGUACACACUUCAUAUAAUAACCAGCACAAAAUAAAAUUCCAGAUAAAUAUUCAUACUAUCAAGCAUGUAAGAAAAAAAGCAACGCAGGCUUCUGCUUAAUAUGCUAAAACUUUCUAAGAUUUCCCAGAGCCAAGCACAUUUGUCUGAAGUUCAGUUUUUAAAAGUUAUUUUAACUCUGUCCCCAGCUGACACGGUUGAUGAGUUGGAAAUGUCAUAAAUGAAGUCAUAUUUCAGCAAGUACACUAGGAACGGAAGAGAUAAAGAUCACAGCAAGUUUAGUGAUGAAAAUUUAACUCCAUUUGGUACUGUGUCUCAAGUGUUAAGCUAAAAUAGAAAUAUUGUUGGUUCAUCAACAUAACAUUAUUUUGGUUCCCUGACCCUCUGCUAUGUAAACAGCCCUUCCAUUUUGCACAAAUGCAUGCACGCAUGUAAAUCUAGAGAAGAGAAGAUGAUGGUGGUUGCUACGGGUGAGUUGGAGAAUUGAGUCUCAGAAUUUGGGUACAGGGACUCCUGGUUUUUAAAAGAAUGGAUUGGGGGAGAAAAUUUGAAUUUUUAGUCUCUUUUUGUAAUACUUCAGGAUCUUAAAUUCUAAUGUCAUAAACCCACCUUGAAUUAAUUUGGGUAAAAGAUGACUUUGUUGACUCACAAAAGUCAGAGGAAGAACAGAGCAGCUAUAAUGUAGGAGGGUGACAAAAUAAUUUGGGUUAAAAGUAGA